CGCAUAAUGGCAGUGUGGUUAGCUGGUUGUGCAAUUCAUACACGACCACUAACCAUACUACCCUUGUGAU
This is a non-coding RNA of Agrilus planipennis (emerald ash borer), 70 nucleotides long. The record is from Rfam. Lineage: Eukaryota; Metazoa; Arthropoda; Insecta; Coleoptera; Buprestidae.